UACGGAGGAUCCGGGCGUUAUCCGGAAUUACUGGGUUUAAAGGGUGCGUAGGCGGGGCUUUAAGCCGGCGGUGAAAUGCAGCGGCUCAACCGCUGGAAUGCCGUUGGGACUGGGGCUCUUGGAUACGGUCGGGGCGGGUGGAACUCGUGGUGUAGCGGUGAAAUGCAUAGAUAUCACGGGGAACGCCGGUAGCGAAGGCAGCUCGCCGGGCCGGUAUUGACGCUGAGGCACGAAAGCGUGGGGAUCGAAC
Molecule: ribosomal RNA, 250 nt
Filed under: uncultured archaeon
Lineage: Archaea
Description: partial 16S ribosomal RNA
Rfam family: Bacterial small subunit ribosomal RNA
Source: RNAcentral